AACGAACGCUGGCGGCGCGUUUUAAGCAUGCAAGUCGAACGGUAGGAAUCCUUCGGGAUUCUGAGAGUGGCGAACGGGUGAGUAACACGUAGAUGAUCUGCCUUGAAGUUGGGGAUAGCCCAUAGAAAUAUGGGGUAAUACCGAAUAAUACCUUACGGUUUUGACUGUUUGGUGAAAGGGGCUUCGGCCUCGCUUUAAGAUGAGUCUGCGGCUUAUUAGCUAGUUGGUAGGGUAAAGGCCUACCAAGGCGACGAUAAGUAGCCGGCCUGAGAGGGUGACCGGCCACAUUGGGACUGAGACACGGCCCAA
Molecule: ribosomal RNA, 309 nt
Filed under: uncultured bacterium
Lineage: Bacteria
Description: bacterial SSU rRNA
Rfam family: Bacterial small subunit ribosomal RNA
Source: RNAcentral